This 1136-nucleotide long non-coding RNA is filed under the name Olea europaea subsp. europaea. Lineage: Eukaryota; Viridiplantae; Streptophyta; Magnoliopsida; Lamiales; Oleaceae. The record is from RNAcentral.
CAAUUAUGUAUUAGUCACAAAUCACAUGUCACACUCACAAAGAUACAAUAUGGGUCACAAUUACAAAUUUAAUCAUAAAUCACACAUUUUUAAAGGUCAAAUUUCAUACUAAUCACAAAUCAUACAAAGACACAUUACAAAUACACAAAAUAUGGGUCACAAUUACAAAUCGCACAUUUUUAUACUUUACAAUUUAUUUAACGAUCACAAAUUAUCUAUUUUAUUGAUCACAAUUAUCUAAAUAACCGAUCACAAACACUCUUCAUUCCACACCACUCCACCAUCACCGGAAGCACCAAAACGUCAUGCAACGUCACCUCCACCAUUGUGCCACCUCUUCUUUAUCUUCCUUCACCAGUUUCUCCUUGCACCAUCAUCACCACCGAUAACUAGAAAAAUGGACAGAAAAAUUGCUACCAUGUUAGCCCCAACUCACUCUUCCUUAAAACCACAACCACUUCCACCACCCAAUUCGUCGCCUUCUCCUCUCCAACACACUCCAUUCUGCAUCACAGUAUUCACUACCACCUUACUAGCAGCACGAUUGCCACUGCACCUGCUCUUCUCUACCUCUCACCACUGAUUUCUGCUCCUCUUGUCGAAAAAAUGAUUUACUCCCCGCUUACUCCUCUAGAUUCAUUCUCCUACUCUUACUGCUCCUCCAGUUCUUUACCCGCUCCUCUCGUCAAGACUGGAUUUGCCUGCUUGUCCAUCUUGCUUCUAUGCUGCUCUCUCACCUUCUUAUUUCGGAUUCUGAUUUUGUUCGCCUCCGAUAAUGGAUCCUCUACAAAUUGUGGUGUUGUGGAUUAUGGUAAUGGGGAUAGGCGGGUGGGUAGUUGUGAUAGGAUGGGUAUGUUUUGAACAUUUACGCCAUGGAUUGUGGAAGGUGGCACUGGUAGGAGUUUUGUUGGGAGUAGUGGCUACAGUGGUGAAGUAGUGGAAAAAAGGUUAAAGGAUAGGGUUAAGGAUAUGGAUAAUGUGAGGUGAGGUGAUGUGAGGUAAGGUAUAGUAUAUCUGCGUUUUCAAAAAAUAAAGUUAAGAUCUAAUGUUUUGAAAUGACAAGUUAAAAACUAGAGUUGUGUGUUAUUUUCUCUAAUUUUGGCGCGUUAAUAUUAUAGAAAAUAAGGGUCUAUUCU